GCAGUCGAGCGGCAGCGGAGAGUAGCUUGCUACUUUGCCGGCGAGCGGCGGACGGGUGAGUAAUGUCUGGGAAACUGCCUGAUGGAGGGGGAUAACUACUGGAAACGGUAGCUAAUACCGCAUGACCUCGCAAGAGCAAAGUGGGGGACCCUCGGGCCUCACGCCAUCGGAUGUGCCCAGAUGGGAUUAGCUAGUAGGUGAGGUAAUGGCUCACCUAGGCGACGAUCCCUAGCUGGUCUGAGAGGAUGACCAGCCACACUGGAACUGAGACACGGUCCAGACUCCUACGGGAGGCAGCAGUGGGGAAUAUUGCACAAUGGGCGCAAGCCUGAUGCAGCCAUGCCGCGUGUGUGAAGAAGGCCUUCGGGUUGUAAAGCACUUUCAGCGAGGAGGAAGGGUUCAGUGUUAAUAGCACUGUUCAUUGACGUUACUCGCAGAAGAAGCACCGGCUAACUCCGUGCCAGCAGCCGCGGUAAUACGGAGGGUGCAAGCGUUAAUCGGAAUUACUGGGCGUAAAGCGCACGCAGGCGGUUUGUUAAGUCAGAUGUGNAAUCCCCGAGCUUAACUUGGGAACUGCAUUUUGAACUGGCAGGCUAGAGUCUUGUAGAGGGGGGUAGAAUUCCAGGUGUAGCGGUGAAAUGCGUAGAGAUCUGGAGGA
This 658-nucleotide ribosomal RNA is filed under the name bacterium 85-L049658-122-015-E11. RNAcentral describes it as "bacterial SSU rRNA". It matches the Rfam family "Bacterial small subunit ribosomal RNA", at positions 57 to 705 of the family's 1533-position model. The record is from RNAcentral.